UGGGAAGUGACUCAGUGGUAGAGUGUUUGCCUUGCAUGCAUGAGGCCCUCGGUUCGAUUCCUCAGUAUCACAU
Non-coding RNA from Dipodomys ordii (Ord's kangaroo rat), 73 nucleotides. NCBI's taxonomy places the organism in Eukaryota, Metazoa, Chordata, Mammalia, Rodentia, Heteromyidae. The record is from Rfam.